This 253-nucleotide ribosomal RNA is filed under the name uncultured bacterium. RNAcentral describes it as "partial 16S ribosomal RNA". It matches the Rfam family "Bacterial small subunit ribosomal RNA", at positions 524 to 776 of the family's 1533-position model. The record is from RNAcentral.
UACGUAGGGGGCUAGCGUUGUCCGGAUUUAUUGGGCGUAAAGAGCGUGUAGGCGGCCAGGUAGGUCUGCUGUGAAAACUCGAGGCUCAACCUCGAGACGUCGGCGGAAACCAUCUGGCUAGAGUCCGGAAGAGGAGAGUGGAAUUCCUGGUGUAGCGGUGAAAUGCGCAGAUAUCUGGAGGAACACCGGUGGCGAAGGCGGCAUCCUGGACCGGUAUUGACGCUGAGGCGCGAAAGCCAGGGGAGCAAACGGG